AUUGAACGCUGGCGGCAGGCCUAACACAUGCAAGUCGAACGAGUGGCGGACGGGUGAGUAAUGUCUGGGAAACUGCCUGAUGGAGGGGGAUAACUACUGGAAACGGUAGCUAAUAUCUCAUACCAUCAGAUGUGCCCAGAUGUGAUUAGCUAGUUGGUGGGGUAACGGCUCACCCAGGCGACGAUCCCUAGCUGGUCUGAGAGGAUGACCAGCCACACUGGAACUGAGACACGGUCCAGAGUCCGACGGGAGGCAGCAGGGGGGAAGAGUGCACAAUGGGCGAAAGCCUGAUGCAGCCAUGCCGCGUGUAUGAAGAAGGCCUUCGGGUGUUAAAGUACUUUAAGCGGGGAGGCGUUACCCGCAGAAGAAGCACCGGCUAACUCCGUGCCAGCAGCCGCGGUAAUUC
RNAcentral lists this ribosomal RNA (406 nucleotides) under uncultured bacterium. RNAcentral's name for it is "partial 16S ribosomal RNA". It matches the Rfam family "Bacterial small subunit ribosomal RNA", at positions 30 to 526 of the family's 1533-position model. The record is from RNAcentral.